Paramormyrops kingsleyae is the source of this 1556-nucleotide non-coding RNA. NCBI's taxonomy places the organism in Eukaryota, Metazoa, Chordata, Actinopteri, Osteoglossiformes, Mormyridae. The record is from RefSeq and is a predicted model, not a curated record.
UUGUUAAAUUAUCCACAAAUGCAUCACACUGUCUUGAAAAGGAAUAAUCAUUAAAAUUGCUUGCUAAGUUUUGUUUCAUAUGAAGAGUAAAAAUGUUUAGUGAAACUUAUAAAUUACCUUUUCAUGAGCACUCCACCUCACCACUUGCCAAAAUUUCAAAAUACCAAAACUACAGCAUGUACAGCAAUAUAAUGUUCAAAUGGCAUGACGGUAUGAAUCUCAAACCAGCUGACUAUUGCAGUUUUUGCGAUGUGCCAUUUGUAUGUGCAUAACAUGCAAUGUCGUUUUACAUAACGCCAAACCCAACUUGACAUGCACCGUUUUUACAAGUUCCAACCUGCAUGGGUUUUUGAGUCCGUAUGUAUUCUUUCUUUUUAAUAUUGUAUUAGCGGACUGAGUCGCUGAGAAGAAAAAAUAAUAACAUUUCAAUAAGAAGCUUCUAUAUAAAUUAAGCAGGCAGACAUGCUGAGCUUGAUUUUCACAUGUGAAGUAAUAAAGAGUGUUAAUUUAGACAGCUCGCCUGAUGAUGCUGGGAUUGGCUCCUGCUUCCCUGCGACCCAGAUGGAUAAAGCGGUGUAGAUAAUGGAUGGAUGGAUGGAAUUUUGACAGCAUAUUUUGCUUUAGUUUAGUCUUAAGAUUGACAAUAAUGCAAUUUAGUGUUAAUCAUAUUUUAGUCAUCGUUAGUUUUAGUACAGUUACGGUCGAUGAAUACUACAGGAAAUUGUCGGCUAAAUCAACUUAAGAGAUCAUGACAGUGAAUUUUUAACACACAUUAAAAGAAAAAAAUAAUUUGUUUCUAUUCAUUGGUGCUUUUCCCUAUUAUUGCUGCUCAACAUGGCUUGCACUGAGUCUUCUUUUCCUUUUCAGUAAAUGUGAAACAGACAGAGAUAUGAUGUAUGCACUUGAAGCAGAUUAGAUCAGCAUUACUCAAUUAUGCACAACUACAGUCAACACUAACUAAAGAUACAACAUCUGAUUGGAACAGUUUCAAAUUUGUCUUUUCCUUACAUUUUCAUCUUGUUUUUAGUCCUUGACUAAAUUAUUACAUUUAGGGCCAGUUUCCCGAACUAGGAUUAAGACUAGUCUUGAACUAAAUUGCCGUUUCAAUGGAGAUUCACCAUUGUAACUCAAAGCUAGUCUAGGCUUAGGCUUAAUCCUUGACUGGGAAACUGGCCAUAUAUCAUAGUUUUCAGCAUCAUGAAUUAAUCUGUAUUAUUGUCCCAUUUUUAUUAAUGAAAAAUCUCUGUUGAUUAAUUUUAGUCAUAGUCUUCAUCAACAAAAAUUAAUGAGGAAGAUGAUUGGCUAUAGGAAUGCCUGUUUAUUGAUCCCUGAUCCUCCUGAGCCUGUGUUAUCUUCAAUAGAUUCAACUCUUCAUCCAGGACCAGACAGGCAUUGUACAUGAUCUACAAAAACCUGGCUAUUAUCCAAAUACAAGCAGUGUCUAGUAGAGAUGCAGAGGCCCAAGGUAUUUGUGUGACUCCCAGACAAAACUGACAGCAUGUGAAAAUAGCAAAGCCCAGGCAGUAUCUGCUUUUAAUAAAGAAUUUUGAACAUUA